AGCAUGGUAGAAGGAAAUGUCUAGAGAGGAUCUGCAACAAAAAUAGAAGACUAGUUGGUCAGAGCUAACAAUCAGUGAGUAAAUAAAUCUUUCCCCCAUCUUUCUCAUCACAUUAUUUUAUGUGCUAUUUACUCAUUAUUUAGGUGCAAUUUUUAUAUCUGAUAUUCAGAACUUGAUCAGGUCACAGGAGAUCAUAAUUACAGGACACAGGAGUUUGUACUCGGGGACAACAUCUUCUGCUUGAUUCAGUAAGAAACUCGCAACUCAUGAGACAUAUCCAGCUCUCAGUUUCGGUGUUUUCUGUUUAACGAAGAAAACUGAUAGCAUGCUUUUGCUGCGAGCAGGAGCACGUAGAGUCUCAUGUCUUGGAUUGUCAAAGGAUCCGAAUGCUGUCAAAGGUUUGGAACCCUCCAAAUCCUGCAAAAGGCAGGCAUCAUGUUAGAAUUCAGUUCUCUAAUCUAACGGGAUGGGAGUCUGAGGACAAGCAUAUUAUAUGCAUUAAGCAUUAAACAUCCGCAUCAAUUGAGAAUUUGUACAAUAAAGACCAUAUUAUGCAAUAUUUGAGUCAUUCGUCAUAUUACAUGCAUGUUUGACAUACUUUAGGUGUGAAUGGAUGAACCAACCUGGUGAUUGUGCUUCUACUCCAAGAAAGCUCACAGAAAAAAGCAAAGCUCGAUAUAUAUAUGAAAUUAUUCUCAUUGCAGUUUCACUUUUUUUUCCUUUUUGCUAACUGAAUUUCACUAUAUUAUUAAACAGAAGAAUUACAGGUAAGACAUCUUCUACAUCUACAAAAUAGCAUAAACCAACAUAAGUAUUCAACAUCAUGAAGACUCGUCAGAGCUGUUUCAUGCCUAUGAUGUAAUCCAGUGAAUACACGGAAUCCCUGAGUUCACAAACAUCAUCCACCACAUUGUUCUCGUCAGAAAUGGUGUGUAGCACCUUCUCUGUCCAACUCAUGAAGUAGAAGGUUAUUCAUAUGGAUGAAAAUUCAAGGGCCUAGGACAUGGAUGUCAAUAUGAGUUUCCCACCAAAACAACAGAAUUCAAGGGCCUAGCACGCAUUUUUGACUAGGGCCAUUGGCAUGGCAACUCCCCCAAUUAUGAAGUAAUAGUCUGCCAGAUGAUCAAGAGAAGAAGAAACCUCAACCUCAAAACCCCAAACUCUUCUAGAAAACUAUUGAAAAAUGGCAGCAGCUUGCCAUCACCAACUGAAUGAAGUGGUAGAAACCUCUAGGAAAACAAGGCUGCUCAAAAACUUCACUUGCUAUCUGGUCAUGAAUACUUAUUCCAAUUAUGCAUGCCUGUAUUGAACACAGACUAUCCAAAUCUGAAAGCAAUUACCCACUUGGUAACACUGUAAUUAGCCCGAGCAAAAGAAACAUUUUCCUGGAUUUAUCUAUUUUAGCCAAAAGGAGACAGAAGAUAAAGGAGCAACAUAAGUUCACGUACCACAGAAGCUAAUGCAAAUAGAUGUUCUAGAUGUCUUGGAAAAGGUAUCAUUUAAGAUAGAAGCAAGAAACAUGAUCCAAAAAUGCUUCCAUUGCCCAGGGGAUAAAGCAAGAUUGAUAAAAGGAAGUCAAGACUCAAAACAGAUUCAAAGAGUAUAACAACAAUAUAUCUGCUGCAAUUUUUUAUUAUCAAGCUUGUACACAUGAAAGAAUUGAUGGGUACAUCCAUGUUAAUGUUAAUCUCCUAAUUACCUUG
RNAcentral lists this long non-coding RNA (1703 nucleotides) under Carica papaya (papaya). RNAcentral describes it as "long non-coding RNA (CPAP_LNC004805)". The record is from RNAcentral. Lineage: Eukaryota; Viridiplantae; Streptophyta; Magnoliopsida; Brassicales; Caricaceae.